UUAUAAAGUUUUAAAAAUUAUAAAUUGAAUUUUACAAGAAAUUUAAACAUUAUAAAUAUAUAAAAAAUAUAUUAAUACGAGACGAUAUAUUACAGGAAAAAUCUUAAAUAUAACAAUCAAAAUUCAAUGAUGAAUUUUGGGUCGAUAUUGUAUUUUUUU
This 159-nucleotide small RNA is filed under the name Arabidopsis thaliana (thale cress). Its description in RNAcentral is "ATSL244740". The record is from RNAcentral. Lineage: Eukaryota; Viridiplantae; Streptophyta; Magnoliopsida; Brassicales; Brassicaceae.